CCUGAAAAAAUUUUCCGUAAAUAUUAGGGCGGGGAGGAAAGGAAAAAUAAUUGCAAUCAUAUAAAAUGCAAUCUGAACAAUCUGUAAUCCACCAGAAAGAAGGCAUUUUUUUGUAUUUUCUGAAAACUUGGGGGGGGGGGGGCUUGGUCACCCCCGGUUCCUACGCCCCUGACGCUGUCUCUACUCUCUAUACAUAUACUCAGGACUAAGACACAGCCCAUGCAUGUACUGAGCACAUCUCACUGCAUAUGUAGCUACGAGAUCCAGGCAUUCGAGAUAAAUUCCCCCAUGUAAAAAGUAUACUGACCGUGUGUUUGCCAAAUUGUCGAGUUGAAAGCACAACGAGAUUUGUCAGUGCCACCGCGCAAUUAGCUAUUGUUUGAAACUUUUAAAAUAACCAAAUUGACCCAGCAAGCAGGAUAUAUAAAUUUUUCAUUUAAUUCAAAACUUGCUUGCCGGGUGUCUUGUUCAACUGGCCAGUUUAGCUUCAAAUCGGCAUGUGUCAAAACUAUUUUCGUAACUUAUUUUAUCAAACAUGCUUUACCUCACACAAAAAGGUUGAUAGCAACAGUUGUUUUCGACAUUUUAACAGGCGCGAUUACUAAUUCAAUAUCGGAAAUUAACGUCAACAAUGAACAAAGCCCACUAAAGCGACGAGUCAUCGCGUAUGCAUGAUUAUAAAAUUAUUAAAAUUCGUUAGUCGUAAGCGAAUUUGGCGAGCUUGUUCACUUGUUGAUGUUUCUAAUAUAGAAUUUGCGACCGCGUCUAUAAAUGUCAAAAACAACUAUUGCUUCCAACCUUUUUGCGUGAGGGAGUCACGUCACGCGUAAAACUGCUGUGAC
This is a non-coding RNA of Paramuricea clavata, 842 nucleotides long. Lineage: Eukaryota; Metazoa; Cnidaria; Anthozoa; Malacalcyonacea; Plexauridae. The record is from the annotation of a GenBank genome assembly.